CUGUCAUCCAUGGGAGGCAGCAGAUUGGAGCGGAGAGCCAGGCACUUGCUGGAUCAAGAAGAAAUAUAGCAAGUUAUUGGGAGAUGGCCCGUGUCCAAGGCAGCAGGGUCUCCAGUUUCUCUCCACUGCCAAAAAAUUGACAAUUUUAAGAGAAGCCCUUUCCCUGUGCAUGUUGGAGGCCAGGGAAGGAUCUGAAUGGCCAGCACACGUUCCACCUUUUCUUCGGCAGAUGUCAAGAACAGUGUCUCUGGGAUUCGUUCCCUCUGUCUGGUCGCCUGCUUGUGCUCAACUUGUCCAUCUGAUCAGACCACUUCUUUCUGCAGCAGAGAACAGCUUAUGGUGCUGAGGAGACCCUGUGGACUCCCACAUGGAGCAGCUGCAACAAAGUGCAUGCCCUCAACGUCUUUCUCAUUUCUUCCUUCCUUCUUC
RNAcentral lists this long non-coding RNA (429 nucleotides) under Equus caballus (horse). RNAcentral describes it as "lncRNA (ENSECAG00000055136.1)". The record is from RNAcentral. Lineage: Eukaryota; Metazoa; Chordata; Mammalia; Perissodactyla; Equidae.